RNAcentral lists this ribosomal RNA (394 nucleotides) under uncultured bacterium. Its description in RNAcentral is "bacterial SSU rRNA". It matches the Rfam family "Bacterial small subunit ribosomal RNA", at positions 28 to 421 of the family's 1533-position model. The record is from RNAcentral.
GAUUAACGCUGGCGGCGUGCAUGAGACAUGCAAGUCGGACGGACGAUCAGGGCUUGCUCUGAUCGUUAGUGGCGGACGGCUGAGUAACGCGUAGGUGACCUGCCCCGAAGUGGGGAGUAACUGCCCGAAAGGGUGGCUAAUACCGCAUGUGGAGGUUCGUUCAUUCGAACCUUCAAAGACAGCAAUGCGCUUCGGGAGGGGCCGUGCGUCCGAUUAGCUCGUUGGUGGGGUAACGGCUCACCAAGGCGACGAUCGGUAGGUGGUCUGAGAGGACGAUCACCCAGACUGGGACUGAGACACGGCCCAGACUCCUACGGGAGGCAGCAGUCGGGAAUUUUGCGCAAUGGACGAAAGUCUGACGCAGCAACGCCGCGUGAGGGAUGACGGCCUUCGG